AAGUGGCUGAAGUUUGGUGAAAAUCUUGGGGAGUUCUUAACGAGCUGGAAUCUCUCCACUGACAUUUGCAUUCGUCGCCCUGUCUGGUCCGGGGGUCGAGGAGGAGAUGGAACCGAUCAACACCUGGAGCCCACGCAGGGUCUCGGUGUGGUUACAAGGCCUGGACAACAGUGUGCAGAAAUAUCCAUUUGAUCAAUGGCAGGUGAAUGGAGAGCAACUCUUGCGACUGUCACAGCAGGACCUGGAGGAGCUGGGCGUGAAACGGAUAGGACACCAGGAGCUGAUUCUGGAAGCAGUGGAGCUGCUGUGUGCACUGACCUAUGAUCUAGAGACAGAGAAUCUGAAGAUUCUGAUGGAGAAGUUGAGAGCUGUGUCUGGAACACUCCAGUCAUUCAUCGUCAGUCGGCGGAAGGUCAGCCCAGGUCCACAGAGGCCUUCUGGAGACCUCCUCACCUCUGUCAUAGAUCUUCUUCAAACCACCAAAGCUAUCUUUUCCUGGCUAAACAGGUACCCGUUUAUAUGUAUAAUCAACUACUCUGCCAUGAAGAAAGAGAUCAUCAGGUUAUGUCUGGAGCUAGCAGAAACUAUUCAUAAGGAGUGCAGCCAGACAGAGAAAGAAAAUCGGAUACUGAGCAUUUGCAGGGAACUCUCCAGUUUCUGUGAGAAUAUGGUAAUGGGCAGCCCUGAGGUGUUGGUGAACCAGCAUGCUUGCCUGGAAACUAUACAUCUACUCACCACUUCACCAGGGCAGAGUCUGGGAAUUGAAAUCAAGUCGGAUAAUGGACUGCAUUUUAUCACAGAAACCACGGUAAAUUCUCCAGCUCAUCGUUCUCAGAAGAUUCGUCCAGGAGAUGAGGUGGUCCAGGUGAAUGAUAUGGUUGUAGUUGGGUGGACAUUGAACAACCUGGUUGCCAAACUGCGGGAGAAUCCAAACCAAGUGGUUCUCAUUAUGAAAAAGAUCCCCGUUGAUAUCUUACCACCUUCCUGUUUUUCUGAGAAUGCACAGCUGCAGCAACCCCAUCAACCACAGGUACUGGGAAACACAUCAGAAGAUGCAGCAUCGUGGCCAGACCUGAGUGCAUUCUCUGAAAGAUCUGUCCAGCUUUCUCAGAGGGAGAGAUUGGGGCUCCAGCAGAGUACACAACUUGAUGGCAACACCUUUGAAUCCAGUGCAAGCUGUGAGGACAGGGAUCAGUCAGUGCUGUCUGAAUCCUACUCUGAAACUGGACCUAUGACUGAUGAUGGAGAAGGGGAUCAGGUGCAGUCAGUACAACAUUCCAACACUGAGGGUGAACACAUGCAGGCGACCAGUCAGCUGUCUGAAGAGAGCACUGUGACUUCAUGCGAUGGAGAGGAGAUUGUAAGUGAUGGAACACUAACUCCCCAAUCUCCAAGAGUAAUAGAGCCUCAUAAGGUUGAAGAUAGAAUGAAAACUGACUCUGAACAUGAGGGAAAACCAAAAUCAUCAUCAGCAGAUGAUGAGAGAGCGGUGCAAUUACGGAACAGACGGAAGAAAAAAGGGGUAGCGACUGCACUUAGCCGUAGACGGAUAUCAUGUAGGGAUCUCGGUUUGGGUGAGUGUUAUGGCUGGCUCUGGAAGAAGAAAGAACAUUCUAGAUUCAUGUCACAGAAGUGGAAACGCUGCUGGUUUGUGCUGAAGGGACCCACCCUAUACUGGUACAACAGUGAAAAUGAUGAGAAAGCCGAGGGAUUAAUCAAAUUGUUGUCAUACUCUGUGGAGGCAGCUGGAGAGCACAAGAGAAAAUUUGUAUUCCAGCUUUGUCACCAGAAGUUCAAGUCCUUUGUCUUUUCAGCGGACAAUGUAGAUGAAAUGAGGAAGUGGAUUAACAGCCUGAUCAGUGCCAUCCAAAAAUACAAAAUUGAGAAACCUUCUGAAAACAAAGAGGAAGACUGCUGGAGCGAGACAGAGACUGAAGAAUGUGAUGAUCCAACCUACCUUAGGAGCAAUGAAUUUUCACCCAGAGAACGAUUGAGACAUUCAUCAGGUAACUAUGGACAAGUUGGACGCAGUGGAGACACUGGCCGCCUUAGCGGGCAAUCCAGCCCCAGUAAGGAGGGGAAGCCGUUUCCAGAACCUGAUCAGAGUUCUAAUGAUGAACUGGAGACAUUAAUAAAAGUCUUGCAGCAGGGAGGUGUGUCACUAAUUGGUAAGGAGCAGCCCUUUCGAAAAGAUUAUCAUCGGUCGUUCAUCAGACGAAACAAGAAUCCAAUCAUCAAUGAGAAGGCGCACCAUCUGCGAACACUGCAGAGUACACUGAAGGCGAAGAUAGUAGAUUUGCAAUCCAUUAAUAAGAUCCUUGAAGAUCCCCAUUUAACGGCAGAGAAAUUCCGAAUUUGGAAAGAGGAAAACCAGGAGCUGCUUGCAGACAUCCGAAAGGUUCAGGAACUUGCCAAUGAAGGAUGGGAAGAGAAAGCUGAGCAGUCAGCUUCUGAACCAGGAACAUUUAUGACAGAAAUGGGACAGGGAGCCCUAGAUAAUCCUUCAUCUUUGUUUGAUAUAGAGCAGAUAUCAUCACAAAGCUCAAUCUCCAUGUCAGAUGUGGAACUGGAGAACAGCAAAGGAGUCUGGUCUGAUGGUGCAUCUGUGCAGUUGGGAAUUGGAGAAAAUGACAGCAUAGAAGGGUUGAAUUCCCAACAGGACUUGGGCACAGACAGGACAUUCAGCUGUCCUGAAUCAUCCAACAGUUCAAGAUCCGAGCUAUGGCAGCCUUGAGGACCGAUCAGUGCAGUGAGAAAUAAGGGAAGUUAAUCCCUAAGUAUGAAUAUGGAACUAUGCAUUGUUUAUUCAUAAGCCAUUGUCCCUUGUGAACAAAUUUGCCAAUCUCCUAGCUCAUUUUCUGUGGUUUCAAUGUCUUAUGUUAUAUACUUAUAUAGAAAUAUAAACUGAUUUUAAAAAUAAUUCUUCCAACAAAAUUAAUCAAACUGGAUGGUUACAAAAAAAUAGCAGUAUCUUUUUAGUUAUGGCAUCAUGUGAUGGCGGUGGCAUAGUGGUAUUGUCACUGGACUGGUAAUCCAGAGGCCCAGGAUAAUGCUCUGGAGACGUGGGUUUGAAUCCCACCACGGCAGAUGAUGGAAUUUGAAUUCAAUACUUGCUCGUGCAACUUGCCAUUGUAGUAAUCCUUAAUCAGGUGACUGCUUGUGUUUUGAGGUUUAAACAUAUGCAGAUGGUUUCAAUCAAGUAGAAUCUAAUUUAUAUACAUUUGUGCUGCUGAGGAAUGUACCCAAGAAUUUGGGACAUGGUUUAGGACUGCAAAUUAUUUUCUUGCUUGCCCUUUCCCUGAACAUAUGAAUCUUAUUGGAUUAUUUCCCUUUAGUGAAUGUAAUGUUGCUGCCAACUUCAAUUAAGAGCAGUCAGCUGAGAAAAGUGAGAGUGGAUUAGAUAUUCCCAAUCCAGUCUCCAAGCCACAAAUGAUUUGGAUUUAGGAAAAUUACUUUGAGUUUCACAAUUGUGAUUGUGAGCAGGAGGCAGUGACUGUCCCUCACAGUUCUCGGAAAGGUAAGGGGGCUGAGUCUCCUGUCUUUGUGGAUUGAGUACUGGAGUGUGCAAUACAGUAAACACAAAGAAACCUUUUGACAUAAUUUUAAGCUUGAUAUUAAAUCGACAUGCCUUAGGAAACUAGGAGAAUUGCUAAUGGAAGAGAUGCUUGUUUGUCCAUCUUUUCAAAUUAAACUUGUUGAACUUGCCAAACUGAGAAGAAAACAAAUGCUGUCAAGAGAAGCCACAGAAAUACAGGCCUGCAAGAGAUCGAGUGCUUUGGCUUAUGGAGACUUGGAUUUAUGAAGCAUUGGAUUGAAAUGCUGUGAAGCACAAUGUUCCAAUAACAUCCAAACACCUUUUUCAGGAAAAUUGACUAUAAAGGGCUUCAUAUAAUGGAAGAUUACUGGAGAAAGUAAAAGAAAGACGGAUAGCUUUCUGGGAAAAUUCAAAUCAUGGGUUAAACAAAGCCUGCAGAAUAAAAGGUUUCAUAGGAUGUGUGGCCAGUCAAUGGCUGCACUUGUUACCAAUGCUAUGCUGCCACAGUUCUCGUGUUUUACUUUGGGCGGGGUUCCGGAGCAUGGGGUGGGGUUCAUCUUCGGAAACCAGGAAGCGUGGGUUUCUUUGACUCUGAGUUUUAACUCCUGCUAGUGUGAAACUUCUUGUAUAAAAUUAGGAAAGGGAAAUAGUAAAUUGGGCGUUUAGUGUAAUAUUAACUGUUAUAGGAAUGUUAAUCUAUAAUAAUGGAAUUGCGUGUGACCCUAUCCGUUGUUUCAGCUUCAAUGUAUAAUGCUAAAUAAAUUCAUAUUUAAUGUU
RNA transcript from Carcharodon carcharias (great white shark), 4312 nucleotides. It is a transcript of the gene named connector enhancer of kinase suppressor of Ras 1, with no coding region annotated. The record is from RefSeq and is a predicted model, not a curated record. The transcript has 22 exons. Lineage: Eukaryota; Metazoa; Chordata; Chondrichthyes; Lamniformes; Lamnidae.